RNAcentral lists this ribosomal RNA (253 nucleotides) under uncultured bacterium. Its description in RNAcentral is "partial 16S ribosomal RNA". It matches the Rfam family "Bacterial small subunit ribosomal RNA", at positions 524 to 776 of the family's 1533-position model. The record is from RNAcentral.
UACGGGGGGUGCGAGCGUUGUCCGGAAUCACUGGGCGUAAAGGGCGCGUAGGUGGUUUGAUAAGGGUGUGGUGAAAGUCCGGGGCUCAACCCCGGAUCUGCCGUGCCGACUGUCAAACUCGAGGGCUGUAGAGGCAGACGGAAUUCCAGGUGUAGCGGUGAAAUGCGUAGAUAUCUGGAGGAAUACCGGUGGCGAAGGCGGCAUCCUGGACCGGCAUUGACGCUGAUGAGCGAAAGCUAGGGGAGCAAACGGG